GGCGGGGCGGGGACCGUCGCCUGCUGGGACCGCCGCCUGCUUGGACCGCAGAAGAGCAGGAGGACUUCUGAGCCAUGCUCGCGGCGAUGGGCUCUCUGGCGGCUGCCCUCUGGGCAGUGGUCCAUCCUCGGACUCUCCUACUGGGCACUGUCGCCUUUCUGCUCGCUGUUGACUUUCUCAAAAGACGGCGCCCAAAGAACUACCCGCCGGGGCCCUGGCGCCUGCCCUUCCUUGGCAACUUCUUCCUUGUGGACUUCGAGCAGUCGCACCUGGAGAUUCAGCUGUUUGUGAAGAAAUAUGGGAACCUUUUUAGCUUGGAGCUUGGUGACAUAUCUGCAGUUCUUAUUACUGGCUUGCCCUUAAUCAAAGAAGCCCUUAUCGGCAUGGACCAAAACUUUGGGAACCGCCCCGUGACCCCUAUACGAGAACAUAUCUUUAAGAAAAAUGGAUUGAUUAUGUCAAGUGGCCAGGUAUGGAAGGAGCAAAGAAGGUUCACUCUGACAGCACUAAGAAACUUUGGUUUAGGAAAGAAGAGCUUAGAGGAACGCAUUCAGGAGGAGGCCCAACACCUGACUGAAGCAAUAAAAGAGGAGAACGGACAGCCUUUUGACCCUCACUUCAAGAUCAACAAUGCAGUUUCCAAUAUCAUUUGCUCCAUUACCUUUGGAGAACGCUUUGAGUACCAGGAUAGUCAGUUUCAGCAGCUGCUGAAGUUACUGGAUGAAGUCACAUACCUGGAGGCUUCAAAGACAUGCCAGCUCUACAAUGUCUUUCCAUGGAUAAUGAAAUUCCUGCCUGGACCCCACCAAACUCUCUUCAGCAACUGGAAAAAACUGAAAUUGUUUGUUUCUCAUAUGAUUGACAAACACAGAAAGGAUUGGAAUCCUGCAGAAACAAGAGACUUUAUUGAUGCUUACCUUAAAGAAAUGUCAAAGCACACAAGCAAUCCUACUUCAAGUUUCCAUGAAGAAAACCUCAUCUGCAGCACCCUGGACCUCUUCUUUGCUGGAACCGAGACAACUUCCACAACUCUGCGAUGGGCUCUGCUUUAUAUGGCCCUCUACCCAGAAAUCCAAGAAAAAGUACAAGCUGAGAUUGACAGAGUGAUUGGCCAGGGGCAGCAGCCGAGCACAGCCGUCCGGGAGUCCAUGCCCUACACCAACGCUGUCAUCCAUGAGGUGCAGAGAAUGGGGAACAUCGUCCCCCUGAACGUUCCCAGGGAAGUGACAGUUGAUACCACUUUGGCGGGGUACCACCUGCCCAAGGGGACCAUGAUCCUGACCAAUUUGACGGCGCUGCACAGGGACCCCACAGAGUGGGCCACCCCUGACACGUUCAAUCCGGACCAUUUUCUGGAGAACGGACAGUUUAAGAAAAGAGAAGCCUUUAUGCCUUUCUCAAUAGGAAAGCGGGCAUGCCUCGGAGAACAGUUGGCCAGGACUGAGCUGUUUAUUUUCUUCACUUCCCUUAUGCAAAAAUUUACCUUCAGGCCCCCAAACAAUGAGAAGCUGAGCCUGAAGUUUAGAAUGGGCAUCACCAUUUCCCCAGUCAGUCACCGCCUCUGCGCUGUUCCUCGGGUGUAAUGUUGUUAAGAAAGAAAGGGACAAGGAAAGUAAGAAGACAUGGCAUGUGUUCUGAAGCCACUGGUGCCUGCUCAGAUGUGUUGGGACAAAACGAAAGUGACUUUCAAGAAAGAUCAGAGGAAUUUGACUCAGAGAAAACUAGAUCCAAAUCCCAGCUCUACUGUCUCGUCCAAAUUAGCCUUGGGAAAAUAAUUUAUGUGCUAAAUAGUUUACCUUUUUAUGUAGGAGAUGAAAAGAGGAUAAUGAUUCCUUCCAUAAAGAAAGCUCUUGUAAGAAUCAAAAGAAAUGAUGGGCAGUACACACCUGUUACUUGGGGGAAUAAGUGUAAAAACACUGGGAACUCAUCCUGACCUGAUAAAUGCAAUGGAACCCAGGGCCAAAUAGGAUGUGAGCACCAUUAACCAGAAACCUUGCGGAAUAGAUGACUGUGAGUAACUGAAUUUUCUGGCCAUAUAAAAUAUCUCCUUUUUCUCAAAGCCCAUGGAGAGGCUCUAAAAUAUGAGCCCCUGUUUUGCCCAAGCACUUCCUGUCCCACACAAAGAUUCUGUUCUAUAUGCACUUUUGUAAUUCUCCUUUUCCCCCAUCUAUUUUGGGAGCUCCAGGGCCCCUGACCCCCUUCUGUUGUAUCAGGGGGUCUGAUGACAUGUGGUGUGCAAGCAAUAUAACAUGAUCUGUGGUAUCGUGGAUGAAGAAUGGAUUUACCAAGAGGUACCCAGGCUGUGGAUCUUCUCUCCACCACUCUCCUACAAAGAGAUGCAGACACAUACAUGCUGCAAUGUAAAUUUAAAACCAGGUUGGAGGUUGAGGGACUUAUAGCAGAGGAGGAGCAGGACACACAGGAUACCCUGAGUUGUUAGGGAAGUGUGCUUGGGUCAGGCAUAGUGGGGCUGCAUGCACCCAGGAGAGGUCCAGGAGGAGGACUGACCUCACAGUGCCUAAUAUGGUUUGGCUGUGUCCCCAUCCAAACCUCAUCUUGAAUUUUAGCUCCCACAAAUCCUAUGUGUUGUGGGAGGGACCUGGUGGGAGGUAAUUGAAUCAUGGGGGCACGUCUUUCUCAUGCUACUCUCAUGAUAGUGAAUAAGUCUCAAGAGAUCUGAUGGGUUUAUAAAGGGGAGUUCCCCUGCACAAAUUCUCUUCUCUUGCCUGCUGCCAUGUAAGAUGUGCCUUUCACCUUCCACUACGAUUGUGAGGCUUCCCCAGCCCCUUAGAACUGUGUAGGUCCAUUAAACCUCUUCUUUUGUAAAUUGCCCAUUCUCAGGAAUGUCUUUGUCAGCAGUAUGAAAAUGGACUAAUACAGUAAAUUGGUACCAGUAGAGUGGGGUGCUGCUGAAAAAAAUACCUGAAAAUGUGGAAGUAAAUUUCGAACUAGGUAACAGGCAUAUGUGGAAACAGUUUGGAGGGCUCAGAAGACAGGAAAAUGUGGGACAGUUUGAAACCUUCUGGAGACUUGUUGAAUGGCUUUGACCAAAAUGCUGAUAAUGAUACGGACAAUGAAAUCCAGUCUGAGGUGGUCUCAGAUGGAGAUGAGGAACUUGUUUGGAACUGGAACAAAGGUAACUCUUGUUAUGUUUUAGCAAUGAGACUGGCAGCAUUUUGCCCCUGCCAUAGAGAUUUGUGGAACUUUGAACUUGAGAGAGAUGAUUUAGGAUAUCUGAUGGAAGAAAUUUCUAAGCAGCAAAGCAUUCAAGAUGUGACUUGAGUGCUGUUACAGGCAUUCAGUUUUAUAAGGGAAGCAGAGCAUAAAAGUUUGGAAAAUUUCCAGUCUGACAACGUGACAGAAAUGAAAAUCCCAUUUUCUGAGGAGAAAUUCAAUUGACUGCAGAAAUUUGCAUAAGUAACAAGGAGCUGACAACUGGGAAAAUGUCUCUUGGGACUGUCAGAGGUCUUCACAGCAGUCCCUCCCAUCACAGGCCUGGAGGCCUAGGAAGAAAAGACAGUUUCGUGGGCUGGGCCCAGGGUCCCUCUGCUGUGUGCAGCCUAGGAACUUGGUGCCCUGAAUUCCAGCUGCUCCAGCCAUGAUUGAAAGGGGUCAAGGUGCAGCUCAGGCCAUGGCUUCAGAGGGUGCAGGCCCCAAACCUUGGCAGCUUCCACAUGGAGUUGAGCCUGUGGGUGCAUAGAAAUCAAGAACUGAGGUUUGGGAACCUCUGCCUAGAUUUCAGAGGAUGUAUGGAAAUACCUGGAUGCCCAGGCAGAAGUUUGCUGCAGAAAUGGAAUGCUCACGGAGAACCUCUGCUAGGGCAGUGUGGAAGAGAAAUGUGGGGUUGAAGUCCCCACACAGAGUCUCCACUGGGGCACUGGCUAGUGGAGCUGUGAGAAGAGGGCCACUGUCCUCCAGACCCCAGAAUGGUAGAUCCACUGAUAGCUUGCACCAUGUGCCUGGAAAAACUGCAGACACUCAAUGCCAACCUGUGAAAGCAGCCAAGAGGGAGGCUAUCCCCUGCAAAGCCACAGGGGUGGAGCUGCCCAAGACCAUGGGAACCCACCUCUUUCAUUAGUAUGACCUGUAUGUGAGACAUGUAUUCAAGGGAGAUCAUUUUGGAGCUUUAAGAUUUGACUGCUCUGUUGGAUUUUGGACUGGCAUGGGGCCUAUGGCCACUUUGUUUUGGCCAAUUUCUCCCAUUUGGAACAUUGGUAUUUCCUCAAUGCCUGUACCUGCAUUGUAUCUAGGAAGUAACUAACUUGCUUUUCAUUUUACAGGCUCAUAGGCAGAAGGGACUUGCCUUGUCUUAGAUGAGACUUUUGACCGUGGACUUUUGAGUUAAUGCUGAAAUGAGUUAAGACUUUUAAGGACUGUUGGGAAGGCAUGAUUGGUUUUGAAAUAUGAGGAUGUGAGAUUUUGGAGGGACUGGGGCAGAAUGAUAUGGUUUGGCUGUGUCCCCACCCAAAUCUCAUCUUGAAUUGUAGCUCCCAUAAUUUCUACGUGUUGUGGGAGGGACCGAGUGUGAGAUAAUUGAAUUAUGGGGGUGGGUCUUUCCCGUGCUAUUCUUGUGAUAGUGAGUUCUCACAAGAUCUGAUUAUUUUAUAAAGGGGAGUUUCCCUGCACAAGCUCUCUUCUCUUGUCUGCUGCCAUGUGAGAUGUGCCUUUCACCUUCUGCCAUGAUUGUGAGACCUCCCCAGCCACUUGGAACUGUGAGUCCAUUAAACCUCUUUCUUUCUGUAAAUUGCACAUUCCUAGGAAUGUCUUUAUCAGCAGCAUGAAAAUGGACUAAUACAGUGCCCUACGUAUUUAUAGACAGGAGGCAGGGCUGACUAGGUGACUAAGUAGCAAGGACAGCUUCCUGGGUGAAGAAGCAACUUUGUUAGA
Symphalangus syndactylus (siamang) is the source of this 4887-nucleotide RNA transcript. It is a transcript of the gene named cytochrome P450 family 2 subfamily J member 2, with no coding region annotated. The record is from RefSeq and is a predicted model, not a curated record. NCBI's taxonomy places the organism in Eukaryota, Metazoa, Chordata, Mammalia, Primates, Hylobatidae.